This 926-nucleotide ribosomal RNA is filed under the name Glugea sp. GS1. RNAcentral describes it as "bacterial SSU rRNA". It matches the Rfam family "Microsporidia small subunit ribosomal RNA". The record is from RNAcentral. Lineage: Eukaryota; Fungi; Microsporidia; Glugeidae.
GUGCCAGCACCCGCGGUAAUACCAGCUCCUGGAGUGUCUAUGAUGAUUGCUGCAGUUAAAGAGUUCGUAGUCGAAGUGGUUAUUAACGGUGUAACAGGCCUUCUCUCAAGGAGGGUUAUGCGCCGUGAUUCCAUGGAAUAAGGAGCGUUUAGGGGCCAGGUUAUUAAGCGACGAGGGGUGAAAUCUGGUGACUCGCUUAGGAGCAACAGAGGCGAAAGCGCUGGCCAGGAGCGAAUCCGAUGAUAAAGGACGUAGGCUAGAGGAUCGAAGACGAUUAGAGACCGUUGUAGUUCUAGCAGUAAACGAUGCCGAUACCGUGGUGCGGAUACGCGACGCGGAAGAGAAAUCGAGUAGGGCCCUGGGGAGAGUACACGCGCAAGAASAAAUUUAAAGGAAAUUGACGGAAGAACACCACAAGGAGUGGAGUGUGCGGCUUAAUUUGACUCAACGCGGGACAGCUUACCAGGCCCGACGGCCGGACGAGUGUUGUACACGAUAGGUCGAAGAGUGGUGCAUGGCCGUUAACGACGAGUGAGGUGACUUUUGGGUUAAAUCCGGGAAGUAGUGAGACCCCUACCGAAAGGGACAGGUGCCGAAAGCACAGGAAGGAAGGGUCAAGAACAGGUCAGUGAUGCCCUCAGAUGGUCUGGGCUGCACGCGCACUACAGUGGUCAUAGAAAUGAAACGAUAGAAUUAAAGAUGAUCGAGAGGGAAUGAGCUUUGUAAGAGGCUCGGGAACGAGGAAUUGCUAGUAAUCGCGGACUCAUUAAGACGCGAUGAAUACGUCCCUGUUCUUUGUACACACCGCCCGUCGUUAUCGAAGAUGGAGUCAGGCGCGAACAAGCGAGAGCGAGUGAGUGCAGGAUUCUAGAUGUGAUACAAGUCGUAACAAGGUAGCUGUAGGAGAACCUGUAGCUGGAUCAGAA